This 293-nucleotide long non-coding RNA is filed under the name Dromaius novaehollandiae (emu). Its description in RNAcentral is "lncRNA (ENSDNVG00000010204.1)". The record is from RNAcentral. Lineage: Eukaryota; Metazoa; Chordata; Aves; Casuariiformes; Dromaiidae.
UUCGUAACAAGGGGAUCUGAAGAAGUCAAAACCUUGGAGGUUCAGACCCUGCUUUAAAAAGUGAGAUAAAAUUAGGGCCUGAAAGCCAGGCCUUGCCCUCUGCCACCCCAGCUGUAUAUCCAGCACUGAGGCAUUGCGCUGCUGCAUCCGGACUUCUGCAGAAGUUACUUCCUGGGAACCUCUUCUCCCUUCGAGCUUCGCCCCACGCUCCCCAGCUUGUUCCCACAUAUAUCAGAUUAAUGACAUCAAUGCCACCAGUCUGUAUUUGCGGCUGCAAAAAUAGCAAGGUGGUG